CCUACGGGGGGCAGCAGUGGGGGAUAUUGCACAAUGGGGGGAACCCUGAUGCAGCGACGCCGCGUGGGUGAAGGAGCGUUUCGGCGCGUAAAGCCCUAUCAGCAGGGAAGUACGGUCACUGUGCUAAUCAGCAGUGCAUUGACGGUACCUGCAAAGGAAGCACCGGCUAACUCCGUGCCAGCAGCCGCGGUAAUACGGCGGGUGCGGGCGUUAAUCGGAAUUACUGGGCGUAAAGCGCUCGUAGGCGGUAUGUCAAGUCAAGGGUGAAAUCCCCGCGCCCAACGGGGGGACUGCCUUUGAAACUGGCAAACUGGGGUGUGUGAGAGGAUAGUGGAAUUCCAGGGGUAGGAGUGAAAUCCGUAGAUAUCUGGGGGAACAUCAGUGGCGAAGGCGACUAUCUGGCACAUAACUGACGCUGAGGAGCGAAAGCGUGGGUAGCAAACAGGAUUAGAUACCCCGAGUAGUC
This 466-nucleotide ribosomal RNA is filed under the name uncultured bacterium. RNAcentral's name for it is "partial 16S ribosomal RNA". It matches the Rfam family "Bacterial small subunit ribosomal RNA", at positions 338 to 795 of the family's 1533-position model. The record is from RNAcentral.